CAAGAGUCAGUCACUGUCAUUACCCCCGAGUUGGGAUAUGGGAAUACUGAUGUUGA
This is a small RNA of 56 nucleotides. It matches the Rfam family "Transposase-1 RNA". From Rfam's summary of the family: Lactobacillales (Firmicutes). Environment (Human Microbiome Project, vagina) The record is from Rfam.